This is a non-coding RNA of Salmo salar (Atlantic salmon), 320 nucleotides long. Lineage: Eukaryota; Metazoa; Chordata; Actinopteri; Salmoniformes; Salmonidae. The record is from RefSeq and is a predicted model, not a curated record.
AGUAGAGCUGUGUUGUGAUGGGACGGGUCGAAUCGUGCUGUCCUGAGGUGGGUCUGAUCUGGUAAAUCUGUGUUGUGAUGGGCCUGGUCUAGUAGAGCUGUGUUGUGAUGGGCCAGGUCUAGUAGAGCUGUGUUGUGAUGGGCCUGGUCUAGUAGAGCUGUGUUGUGAUGGGCCUGGUCUAGUAGAGCUGUGUUGUGAUGGGCCUGGUCUAGUAGAGCUGUGUUGUGAUGGGCCAGGUCUAGUAGAGCUGUGUUGUGAUGGGCCAGGUCUAGUAGAGCUGUGUUGUGAUGGGCCUGGUCUAGUAGAGCUGUGUUGUGAUG